Rattus norvegicus (Norway rat) is the source of this 4490-nucleotide non-coding RNA. The record is from RefSeq and is a predicted model, not a curated record. Lineage: Eukaryota; Metazoa; Chordata; Mammalia; Rodentia; Muridae.
CCGCGUGACGGUACUGCCCAUACUUUGGGUUCCGGUUUCUGGCAGUCCUAUGAGCAGGAUGUCGCAGUAUUAACUCUAUAGCAGUGAAGGGAAGAGGUGAACGCUGAAGCAGAUACAGUGCUGUAGCAGCAAUGAUAAAAGCAGCCAAGUGGCAACAGACACAACAGCCGAGCAUCCUGAACAUCAAGCCAUAGAAGUGACUGCACGAGCUGAGAGAACCCAUCCUUGGUUCUACCUUGGUAUCAAAUCCCUGGCUCUUCUUACAUUCUCGCACAUGCUAUGGGUCAUGUAUACCAAGAAACACAAAACACUGGAAACAGGAGAACUACCAACAAACAGAAUGGAGAGCUCUGGUCGCUUCUCAAGCACAGAGACUGCUCAGAUACAGAGCAAGGGGAAGAAGUGCUGAUAUCAUCAAAGGACUGACACAGAAGUAAUCCUGUAUUGGUGGCCAGGACCUGGCCCCCCAGUUCCAGCAGACUCCAGCAGCUCAGGUGCAGGUCACAGCAGUCAGAAGAACAGAGACCCUCCUGCUGCAUCAGAGGCCAAGCAAGCAGCCAGAAGGCAAGAUUCCAGUGUGGUCAGAGGUCAAACAGGCUUCUAGAAAUCCAGGGAACAAAGGUGAGAAAACCAAAGACGAAACAGAGAUGUAGGGAAACAACACCCAUCCAACAAAGGCAACUCAAUAGUCAGCACCUAGACCUACAAUCAUCCUAAAUCCGGAUACCUAAACUCCAGUGUAAGGACAACAGGUCAACAACAGCCAGGGCAACAUGGCACCACCAGAACUAGGUCAGCAAGACCUGAAUAUUCCAAUGCAGCUGGAACACAAAAAAAGACCUUAAAACCAACUUUACGAUGAUGAUAAAGUUCCUCAAACAGGAAAUGCAAAAAAAUCCCUCAAAGAAAUUAAUGAAAAAAAUUGUAGGAAAUCAAUUCAUCCUUCAAAGAAUGCCAAGCCUCCCCGUUCCAAAUUAAACAAGCAGGCAAAGGAAACUGUUCAAGACCAGAAAAUGGAGAUAGAAGCAAUAAAGAAAACACAAACUGAUGAAAUUUUGAAAAUGGGAAAUCGAGGUAAGAUAACAGGAAUUACUCAUUAACAGAGUACAAGAAUUGGAAGGGAGAAUCUCAGGAGUUGAGUUGAAGAUAUGAUAGAAGAAAUAGAUUCAUCAGUCAAAGAAAAUGUUAAAUCUAAAAAACACCUAACACAAAACAUCCAGGAACUCCGUGAUACUAUGAAAAGACCAAACGUCAGAAUAAUAGGAAUGGAAGAAGGAUUCCAGCUCAGGAACCCAAAAAAAUAUUUAAACAAAUUCGUAGAAGAAAACUGUCCUCACCUAAAGAAGGUGUCUUAGUUAGGGUCUUAUUGCUGUGAACAGACCAAUGUAAAUUUUAUAAAGGACAUUUAAUUGGGGCUGGCUUACAGAUUCAGAGGUUCAGUCCAUUAUCAUCAAGGUGGGAGCAUGGCAACAUAGCAGCAUCCAGGCAAGCAUGGUACAGGAGGAGGUGAGUUCUACAUCUUCACCGGAAGGAAGCCAGGAGCAGGCUGAGUGUUCCUAGGCAGCUAGGAGGAGGGUCUUCAAGCUCACCCCUACAGUGAUACACUUCCUCCAACAAAGCCACACCUUCUAAUAAUGCCACUCCCUGGGCCAAGCAUAUGCAAACCAUCACAGGAGGACAUGCCUAUAAAGGUACAAGAAGCUUACAGAAUGCCAAAUAGAUUGGAUCCGAAAAGAAAAUCCCCAUGCCACAUAAUAAUCAAAACACCAAACAUAGAGAACAACAACAACAAGAAAAGACUAUUAAAAGCUGCAAAGGAAAAAGGCCAAGUAACAUAUAAAGACAGACCUAUCAGACCUACACCUGACUUCCCAGUGAAGUCUUUAAAAGCCAGAAGGGCCUGGGCAGAUGUCUUGCAGACUCUAAGACAACACAGAUGCCAGCUCAGACUACUAUACCCAACAAAACUCUCAAUCACCAUAGAUGGAGGAAGCAAAAUAUUUCAUGACAAAGUCAAAUUUAAACAAUAUCUAUCCACAAAUCCAGUCCUACAAAAAAUACUAUAAAGAAAAAUCAACCUAAGAAGCUUAACUACACCCUCGAAAACAAAAUAAUCCCACAGCAGCAAAACCCAAAGAAGGGAAACACACACACACACCACCACCACCACCACCACCACCACCACCACCACCACCACCACCAACAACAACCACAACAACUCAUUGGUCAUUAAUAUCUCUCAUAUCAGUGAACUCAGUUUCCCAAUGCUAAAUGCUAACAGAAUGGAUAGGAAAAAAAAAAACAGGACCCAACCUUCUGCUGCAUACAAGAAACACACCCCAACACCAAAGAUAGUCAUUACUUCAGAAUAAAGUGUUGGAAAACACUUUUCCGAGAAAAUAGACUUAAGCAACAAGCUGGUGUAGUCAUUCUACUCUCUAACAGAAUAGGCCAAACCAAAAUUAAUCAAAAGAGAUGGAGAAGGACAUUUUAUUGUCAUGGAAAUGGAAAAAUCCACCAAGACAGUGUGUCAAUUCUUAACAUCUAUGUCCCAAAUGAAAGGGCACCCAUGUUUGAACCUCACACAAUAAUAGAGACUACAACAUCCCACUCUCACCAAUGGACAGGCAAUCCAGACAAAAACAAAACAGAGAAAUAAUGGAGCUAACAGACGUUAUGAACCAAAUGGACCUAACAGAUAACCACAGAACAUUUCACCCAAACACAAAAGAAUACCUUCUUCACUCAGCACCUUAUGGGAGAGAUUCAAAGCAAGUCUCAACAGACACAGGAAAAUUGAGAUAAUACCUUGUAUCUGAUCUGACCACCAUGGAUUAAAGCUGGACUUCCACAACAGAAACAUCAGAGAGCCUACACACUCAUGGAAACUGAACAGCUCUCUAGGGUCAAAGAAACACAAAAAAAGCAGUGUUAAGAGGAAAAUUCACAGCAUCAAGUGCCUUCAUAAAGAAAUUGGUGAGAUCUCGUACUAGCAAGUUAACAGCACACCUGAAAGCUCUAGAACAAAUAGAAGUAAACACACCCAAGAGUAGAAGAUAGCAGGAAAUAAUCAAACUGAGGGCUGAGGAACUUUCAGAGAUCGGGGAGCCUACAGGGGUCGGACCUAGGUCCUGGGAAUAUGUGUUAUUGUUAAGUAGCUUGGUGUUCUUGUGGGAAUCCUAACGGUGAGAGCAAGGUCUGUUUCUGACUCUUUGCCUACUUGUAUGACCCUUUUCCUCCUACUGGUUUGCCUAACCCAGCCUUAACGUGACGGUGUGAGCCUGGUAUUGCUGUAGCUUGUUAUGCUGUGUUUGGUUGAUAUACCUGGGAGACCUGCUCUUCUCUGAGGGGAGGAAGUGGGGAGCGGGGCUGUGGACCUGGAGGAAAGAGGAGGUGAUCAGGGAUGGGGGAUGGGAGAUAGGGGAAAGGCUAGGGAGAGCAAAGCUGUAGUGGGGAUAUAAUAUAUGAUGAAAAAAUUAUUAUAAAAAUAAUCAUGUAUUUUAAUUCAAAACAGCCUCUAAGUUAAAGACAACCAAGAUUUCUCCCAAUAAAAAUGGAUAUGGGAUAUUACAUAGAAUUGGAAUACAUAGAAAUAAGAAAAACCAAUAUACACAGAAUAUAAAUUAGUUUCAUAGGCGAUAUAUUGAACAAAUAGCUGGAUAGAGAAAUUAAAGAAUAGGAUACACCUUUAGUAAGACUGAGGGUGUCCCUGGAAGGAUUUACCUUUGUCUAAACCUAGUUUAGAAGAGGAAACAGGAACUACCGUGGUGUUAACUAGAUUAACCAAGAUACUAUCUUUCCACUGAACUAGUGCCUCUUUGCUAGAACAUAGUUUAGUAAAUGCAGACAAAGUAUCGAAAGUGAAUGGUCUCUUGCUGGAUUCAGUUAAAAGGAGAUUAGGGUCAUAGGCAUGAGCCACAACACUGAGAUACGUUGGAUUUUUUUAAUUCUUGAAAAUAUUUUUUUUUUGGUUCUUUUUUUUUUUUUUGAAAAUAUUUUUAUUGACAUAUAAAGUUGGAUCUUUAAUUUUGAAUUUUACAGCCUAAAUUACUCUCACCACUAGGGGGCAGCAACUUAGGACGGAAAACAAAACAAAACCAGUCCAGAAAGGAAAGCCUUGUUUUAAAUUUCUAUCUCCCCAUACAUCUGUAAUGCUCUAACCUCGGUACUCAGCGAUGCCUCAUAUGUAAAAUAGAACAUAAAUAAUUUAAUGGGAAGUUUCAUUUUUCAGCCAUGGCGGUGACUGUUCCAGAAAGCGCACUUGAUACACUUGUGUAUCCCCCAACUGUGAUCCCAUCACCUUAAUGCCAAUACUACCACUCUACGGAGGACAGAUGUCCUCUCUCCUGUAAAUCUUGUCUUGGUAGCUUCUUUAAGUUUUUAUUGUUCAAUUUAUUCAUUUGUUCUAUUUUGCUCCUUCUACUUUCAUGGCUGUUCAGUCUUGGGGGCAGUUUUGAUGACACCCUCCCGUAUUUCAAGUUUCCUUGUCC